Molecule: long non-coding RNA, 2116 nt
Organism: Papaver somniferum (opium poppy)
Lineage: Eukaryota; Viridiplantae; Streptophyta; Magnoliopsida; Ranunculales; Papaveraceae
Exons: 2
Source: RefSeq, a predicted model, not a curated record
UAUUCUUUCAUUCUUCUUUCAUUCUCUUUCUUUCUUCUCGGUCUUUCUUCCUUCUUCUGCUCCUCCUCUAUUUUCUUCUCCGUCGAUUUCCGAGAGAUGGAAUUGAGUUUUAGUUGAGAGAAUUAGUUGGUGAAGCUGUGUAGAUGUAUGAGGUGUAGUUGUUGUGAAUUAUGAAGAAGAAAACAUAAAUCAGAGUUGGGGUUUCUGCUGAUAGAAGUUAGAAUUCGAGUUAUGUUAUGAUUAAGAAGAAUUGGAGGAUGGGUUUCAAAGAUUAUGAGUUUAAGAAUAGGUUAGUGAUGUUGAUUUGAAGAUACAAUUAUAAAGAAGUUGAGAAGAUCGAAGUUAGGGUUUCAUAAAGAUAAACCAGAGAAGAUUCAAAGAUGAAAUUGAUAUUCUUGGAAGAUGAUUAGACUUGGGUGUUUAGCAGUUAAGUGAUUAAAGUGGGGUAAUAUGUGGAAUUGAGUUUCAAUUGAUGAAUUUGUAUUGGUGAUGAAAUUUAAGAUCGGGAACAAUUAUUUUAGGGUUCUGAUAAUCAGUGACGAUGAAGAAGGACUAAACCAGGAACAAUUGAUGGAGAUGGUGUAGGUUCAGUGGAUUAUGCAAACUCAAAAGAAGAAGAAAAGGUAAAUUGGUGUACGGCUCUUGGUAUGAAUUAGAGAAGUCUUAAGUUGGGAAUUAAGAUAGGGUUCACUGAGUAAUGAUGCAGGUAAUGAGGAUUGUCGAGAUAAGUCUUCUAAUUAGGUGAUAAAGAAGAACUGAUCUCAGUGCUUGAACAAGCUAAACCAAAGGUAAUUGCUUUCUUAGUUAACUUCCUGGAAUUAUUCAUUUUUGGUUCAUGUGUGGAUUUAUGAAGUUAUGAUAUGAAGUUGAUAUGAUAUAAAGCAGAAUUUGGGUUUUACAAUUGGUAUAAAUGUCAGUUACAGGAAACUGUGUUGGUUUGUAAUGGACUGAACAAGGGAAUGGUAUUAGUGAGAUGAUUGGUUGAGUGUUGCUGUUAAAUGUCAGGUGGUGUUGUAGUACUUGGCUGAGAAUAGAAUGGAUUGAAUUCUAAUCUAGAAGUUUAGACAGAACUCUAAGACUUUAUGCAAUGGUGGUGGUCUGCUUGUGUAAUUGUGAUGAACUGGUGUUGGUGUUGCAGGUGGUGAAUGAGAUGAACUGAUAUUGAUAUAGUGGAAGAAUUAGCGCUGGCAGUGAUGUUGAAUUGGAGUUGCAAGUGUACUUCAGUAGUAGAAUGGUUUUACAGCUAAGGGUGUUGUGUAUGGUGGUGGAUGAAUGUGGUUGUUGGUGUUUCUUAGAGUUGGAGUUGUAGUUAGUAAUUGCUGUAGAAAGGAUGCGCAGCUAAUGCAAUUGCAGUUAGUCUAUUAACAACGACCGAUUCAAAGGAUGAACCAGUGGAUCGUGGAUCUCGAGGUAGGCGGGGCUUGUCAUCAAAAGAGGUGGGAAUACAUUUUGACUUUAUGGUAAUCAUUGUCGUUUCUUUUACAAAAGUUGAUGUUUUACAAACUCAUGCUUUGUCUAGUCGUGCAUUCCAUGCUUUGUUUAAAUUACAUUACGAUAAUUGUGUUGAUUCUGCUAAUCUUUCCAUAGAUUGGAAAUGACUGGUAAUGUUUUGUUGUCGUCGUGAAUUGUUAUGGGAAAUAAGAAUUUCCACCUGUGGUAUAUAGGAUACACUCCUUCACAUUUAUACCUAGAGCUUUUAUAUGAUAUAUUGGUCGGCAGUUUGCGCGAGUUCGGAAUUGUCGAUAUCCAUAUGUACGAUUAGGUGUGGAUCAACGAGUUCGGGAUUGCACAACCAUACUAGUACAUUGUUUGACGAAUGAGUUUGUCCAUAUACAUGUUUGUAUUUGAGUGACUUGGUCACUAUUUAAUGUUGUUUUUCAAAUCUUGCCUAUGAUUACUUAGAAGUUAAAUGUUAAUUAUGCCCACUUUCAGUUUCAGAGACAGAUCCGAGUUGCGCAGCGAAAGCUUUAAGUGUUGAUUUUAUUGGUUGGUUAACUACUGCUAUGUUUGUUAUGUUAUAAAUUAUAUUUGUAACCAUAUGACUAUUAUUUAUGUAUCAUUUGAGAGAAGCGUUUGUAUAUAUAUAUAUUUCAGAGCGGAGCUAGUUUUGGGUUGA